GAUUGGUAUUAUUUGAAAAGAAGAAAGAUUGAAUGCUGAAAUCUGAUUGUAGUUCAAUAGAGAGAAUGAGUCUAAGUUUGUAUGAAACACUGUAAUGUGAAUGGCAGUUCUGUGUGAAGAAUUCCAGUGAUUGGAACGAGGGUAAUUGUGUGCUAAAAGCUGUGAAGGCACAGUAUUACAGUUGGAGAUUAUGAGGGUGAAUAUAUUGGUGGAAAUAGUAGUUAUUG
Molecule: long non-coding RNA, 227 nt
Filed under: Physcomitrium patens
Lineage: Eukaryota; Viridiplantae; Streptophyta; Bryopsida; Funariales; Funariaceae
Description: long non-coding RNA (PPAT_LNC004279)
Source: RNAcentral